This 67-nucleotide transfer RNA is filed under the name Marmota monax (woodchuck). RNAcentral describes it as "tRNA.Ala". Lineage: Eukaryota; Metazoa; Chordata; Mammalia; Rodentia; Sciuridae. The record is from RNAcentral.
GGUUGUAGCUCAGUGGUAAAGUGCUUGCCUAGCACAUGUGAGGUACUGGGUUCAAUCCUCAGCACCA